RNAcentral lists this ribosomal RNA (96 nucleotides) under Vibrio parahaemolyticus. Its description in RNAcentral is "partial 16S ribosomal RNA". It matches the Rfam family "Bacterial small subunit ribosomal RNA", at positions 1447 to 1533 of the family's 1533-position model. Lineage: Bacteria; Pseudomonadati; Pseudomonadota; Gammaproteobacteria; Vibrionales; Vibrionaceae. The record is from RNAcentral.
AGAACGCUUACCACUUUGUGGUUCAUGACUGGGGUGAAGUCGUAACAAGGUAGCGCUAGGGGAACCUGGCGCUGGAUCACCUCCUUAAACGAUGAU